ACGCACGCUGGCGGCGUGCUUAACACAUGCAAGUCGAACGGAAAGGCCUGCUUUCCCUUGUGGAUUGCGGGUACUCGAGUGGCGAACGGGUGAGUAACACGUGAGUGAUCUGCCCCCAACUUGGGUAUAAGCCUGGGAAACUGGGUCUAAUUCCCGAUAGGACUGCAGGGUGGUGCCUGUGGUGGAAAACGAUUUUCUAGUGGUUGGGGAUGAGCUCGCGGCCUAUCAGCGUGUUGGUGGGGUAAUGGCCUACCAAGGCGGCGACGGGUAGCCGGCCUGAGAGGGUGGACGGCCACAUUGGGACUGAGAUACGGCCCAGACGCCUACGGGAGGCAGCAGUGGGGAAUAUUGCACAAUGGGCGGAAGCCUGAUGCAGCGACGCCGCGUGGGGGAUGACGGCCUUCGGGUUGUAAACUCCUUUCGACCGCGAGGAAGCCACCUGGUUGGAAGGGUGGUGACGGUAGUGGUAGAAGAAGCACCGGCUAACUACGUG
This 493-nucleotide ribosomal RNA is filed under the name uncultured bacterium. RNAcentral's name for it is "partial 16S ribosomal RNA". It matches the Rfam family "Bacterial small subunit ribosomal RNA", at positions 29 to 507 of the family's 1533-position model. The record is from RNAcentral.